RNAcentral lists this ribosomal RNA (253 nucleotides) under uncultured bacterium. RNAcentral describes it as "partial 16S ribosomal RNA". It matches the Rfam family "Bacterial small subunit ribosomal RNA", at positions 524 to 776 of the family's 1533-position model. The record is from RNAcentral.
GACGAACCGUGCGAACGUUGUUCGGAAUCACUGGGCUUAAAGGGCGCGUAGGCGGGCUGUCAAGUCUGGGGUGAAAUGCCGCGGCUCAACCGUGGAACUGCCUUAGAUACUGACGGCCUCGAGGAAGGUAGGGGCAUGCGGAACUGUAGGUGGAGCGGUGAAAUGCGUUGUUAUCUACAGGAACUCCGGUGGCGAAAGCGGCGUGCUGGACCUUUUCUGACGCUGAGGCGCGAAAGCUAGGGGAGCAAACGGG